ACGGCUCAGUAACACGUCGGUAACCUACCCUCGGGAGGGGGAUAACCCCGGGAAACUGGGGCUAAUUCCCCAUAGGCCUGAGGUACUGGAAGGUCCUCAGGCCGAAAGGGACUUAUGUCCGCCCGAGGAUGGGCCGGCGGCCGAUUAGGUAGUUGGUGGGGUAAUGGCCCACCAAGCCGAAGAUCGGUACGGGCUGUGAGAGCAGGAGCCCGGAGAUGGACACUGAGACACGGGUCCAGGCCCUACGGGGCGCAGCAGGCGCGAAACCUCCGCAAUGCGGGAAACCGCGACGGGGGGACCCCGAGUGCCGUGGCAACGCCACGGCUUUUCCGGAGUGCAAAAAGCUCCGGGAAUAAGGGCUGGGCAAGGCCGGUGGCAGCCGCCGCGGUAAUACCGGCGGCCCGAGUGGUGGCCGCUAUUAUUGGGCCUAAAGCGUCCGUAGCCGGGCCCGUAAGUCCCUGGCGAAAUCCCACGGCUCAACCGUGGGGCUUGCUGGGGAUACUGCGGGUCUUGGGACCGGGAGAGGCGGGGGGUACCCCUGGGGUAGGGGUGAAAUCCUAUAAUCCCAGGGGGACCGCCAGUGGCGAAGGCGCCCCGCUGGAACGGGUCCGACGGUGAGGGACGAAGGCCAGGGGAGCAAACCGGAUUAGAUACCCGGGUAGUCCUGGCUGUAAAGGAUGCGGGCUAGGUGUCGGGUGAGCCUCGAGCUCGCCCGGUGCCGUAGGGAAGCCGUUAAGCCCGCCGCCUGGGGAGUACGGCCGCAAGGCUGAAACUUAAAGGAAUUGGCGGGGGAG
This 794-nucleotide ribosomal RNA is filed under the name uncultured Thermococcus sp. RNAcentral describes it as "bacterial SSU rRNA". It matches the Rfam family "Archaeal small subunit ribosomal RNA", at positions 85 to 876 of the family's 1478-position model. The record is from RNAcentral. Lineage: Archaea; Methanobacteriati; Methanobacteriota; Thermococci; Thermococcales; Thermococcaceae.